UACGGAGGAUGCAAGCGUUAUCCGGAAUGAUUGGGCGUAAAGCGUCCGCAGGUGGCUGUGUAAGUCUGCUGUUAAAGAGUGAGGCUCAACCUCAUAAAGGCAGUGGAAACUACAUGGCUAGAGUGCGUUCGGGGCAGAGGGAAUUCCAGGUGUAGCGGUGAAAUGCGUAGAUAUCUGGAGGAACACCGGUGGCGAAGGCGGCAUCCUGGACCAACACUGACGCUGAACAGCGAAAGCCAGGGGAGCAAACGGG
This 253-nucleotide ribosomal RNA is filed under the name uncultured bacterium. RNAcentral describes it as "partial 16S ribosomal RNA". It matches the Rfam family "Bacterial small subunit ribosomal RNA", at positions 524 to 776 of the family's 1533-position model. The record is from RNAcentral.